RNAcentral lists this ribosomal RNA (570 nucleotides) under uncultured Actinomycetales bacterium. Its description in RNAcentral is "bacterial SSU rRNA". It matches the Rfam family "Bacterial small subunit ribosomal RNA", at positions 338 to 916 of the family's 1533-position model. The record is from RNAcentral. Lineage: Bacteria; Bacillati; Actinomycetota; Actinomycetes; Actinomycetales.
CCUACGGGAGGCAGCAGUGGGGAAUAUUGCGCAAUGGGCGAAAGCCUGACGCAGCAACGCCGCGUGAGGGAUGAAGGUUCUAGGAUUGUAAACCUCUUUGAUCAGGGAAGAAGCCGCAAGGUGACGGUACCUGAAGAACAAGCCCCGGCUAACUACGUGCCAGCAGCCGCGGUAAUACGUAGGGGGCAAGCGUUGUCCGGAAUCAUUGGGCGUAAAGAGCGCGUAGGCGGUCUGUCAAGUUUGGUGUGAAAUCUCGAGGCCUAACCUUGAGCGUGCAUCGAAAACUGACAGACUAGAGUUCGGCAGGGGAAACUGGAAUUCCAAGUGUAGCGGUGAAAUGCGCAGAUAUUUGGAAGAACACCGGUGGCGAAGGCGGGUUUCUGGACCGCAACUGACGCUGAGGCGCGAAAGCUAGGGGAGCGAACAGGAUUAGAUACCCUGGUAGUCCUAGCCGUAAACGAUGGGCACUAGGUGUGGGGAGUUAUCGACGCUCUCCGUGCCGCAGCUAACGCAUUAAGUGCCCCGCCUGGGGAGUACGGCCGCAAGGCUAAAACUCAAAGGAAUUGACGG